RNAcentral lists this transfer RNA (77 nucleotides) under Bacillota bacterium. Its description in RNAcentral is "tRNA-Pro". It matches the Rfam family "tRNA". Rfam says of the family: Transfer RNA (tRNA) molecules are approximately 80 nucleotides in length. Their secondary structure includes four short double-helical elements and three loops (D, anti-codon, and T loops). Further hydrogen bonds mediate the characteristic L-shaped molecular structure. tRNAs have two regions of fundamental functional importance: the anti-codon, which is responsible for specific mRNA codon recognition, and the 3' end, to which the tRNAs corresponding amino acid is attached (by aminoacyl-tRNA synthetases). tRNAs cope with the degeneracy of the genetic code in two manners: having more than one tRNA (with a specific anti-codon) for a particular amino acid; and 'wobble' base-pairing, i.e. permitting non-standard base-pairing at the 3rd anti-codon position. The record is from RNAcentral. Lineage: Bacteria; Bacillati; Bacillota.
CAGAGUGUUGGGUAAUUGCGUAACCCCCCUGCCUUGGAAGCAGGUAUAUGCGAGUUCAAGUCUCGCCACUCUGACCA